This 256-nucleotide ribosomal RNA is filed under the name uncultured bacterium. RNAcentral's name for it is "partial 16S ribosomal RNA". It matches the Rfam family "Bacterial small subunit ribosomal RNA", at positions 524 to 776 of the family's 1533-position model. The record is from RNAcentral.
UACGAAGGGGGCUAGCGUUGCUCGGAAUUACUGGGCGUAAAGCGCACGUAGGCGGCUUCUUAAGUCGGAGGUGAAAUCCUGGAGCUCAACUCCAGAACUGCCUUUGAUACUGAUGAGCUUGAGUUCGGGAGAGGUGAGUGGAACUGCGAGUGUAGAGGUGAAAUUUCGUAGAUAUUCGCAAGAACACCAGUGGCGAAGGCGGCUCACUGGCCCGAUACUGACGCUGAGGUGCGAAAAGCGUGGGGGAGCAAACAGG